This is a long non-coding RNA of Helianthus annuus (common sunflower), 1256 nucleotides long. RefSeq lists it as uncharacterized. The record is from RefSeq and is a predicted model, not a curated record. The transcript has 5 exons. Lineage: Eukaryota; Viridiplantae; Streptophyta; Magnoliopsida; Asterales; Asteraceae.
UUUCUUGAAAAAUUCAGAUGAUCCCGCCUACUUCCCCCAAUAUUCAUCUAUUCCCUCCAAAUGCCCCUCUUCCCCCAAUCUGCAUUUUCUCAUAACAUCUCGCACUCUCCAUCCAUUUCCUGAAGACGUGGAGUCAAGCUCCCCUUCUAUCCGCUCUCUUUCAUCUCCACGAUGAGGAGUUUUACGCGAGGAUUGAAGCUUUUAAAUUUGUUGAUUUCACUAAAUCCUACAACGUUCGUACUAACUAGGUUUUGAAAAUCUUACUGAAAUACUAGGGACGAAAUAAAGGGUGUCUUGUGUGCAAGAAGAAGAUGGCAACUUAUCUCCCAAAACACUUUCUGGAUCCUGUCCUGCCCCAUUUAGAAAUCUUUUGGAAUAUGUUGUUAAUUUGAAGUUUGAUAAGGAGCCUACUUAUGCAAAACUUUUGUUUGAUCAUCUGAAAGUAGUUAUUUUUCCUAAAUACAUGUCAAAUUGUGUGUUAAUUUGUUGGCCUAUUAUAUGGUAUUUGUAGGUUUAUGAAAGGAGCUCACAUCAUAGUAUUUUGGUUGUUUGUUUGAAGUUGUGAAAAUGAAGCUCUCUAACGGAAAGGAAGAGCAAAAAAGAAGCAUUUCUUCCAGCAGUUUGGGGUUCCCCGAGCAAACAACCCACAAAUUAUUUUUGUUAAAUAUUGACUGCAAGUUUUGCUAGCACUUACAGCGGAUCUUUAGUUCAUUGUCACACAGCUGCUGUGUAAGUAUCUCUUCCACUGGAUACUGUUUUGGAGCUUGAAUGUCAUGGUGCCAAGAGGAAAUUUACCAUACGUCAGGUUAGAGACGGUGGCUUCCGGUAUGGCGUGGCCCGGUUCGUGUCGCAAUACAAUUGGAAUUUGAUUUUCAUAGGGCCAUCUACAAUCUCAACACUUUUUUGGUUGGUUUAAUGAACUUUUUCUCUUCUACGAUUCCGGUUGCAAGUAUGGAUUGAAGACGUUGGUUUGGGUUGAAAGUAUGAAGACAUUUGUCGGUUCAGGAAGUUAUUGUAUAUCACUUUCAUCUUUAGAGUUAUAUGUAAUGUUGUGUUAUUGGAAAACUUUUGUAAUAUUGUAUUACUUUGAAACCUUUGUAUUUUGUAAUCUUGGGUCAUAUUAUAUUGGUUCUAAUUUAAUUUUGUUCUUUUUUGUAUGUUUUAUUUUAAUUUUUAGAGAAUUUGUUAAUUAUGGGAAUUUAUUAAUAAUACAUAUAUAUAUUAUUUUACUCUAAACACUAACAGAUGAUGCGGUU